RNAcentral lists this ribosomal RNA (253 nucleotides) under uncultured bacterium. Its description in RNAcentral is "partial 16S ribosomal RNA". It matches the Rfam family "Bacterial small subunit ribosomal RNA", at positions 524 to 776 of the family's 1533-position model. The record is from RNAcentral.
UACAGAGGUCCCAAGCGUUGUUCGGAUUUAUUGGGCGUAAAGGGUGCGUAGGCGGCGGAGUAAGUUGGGUGUGAAAUCCCGGGGCUCAACCUCGGAAUUGCAUUCAAUACUGCUUCGCUCGAGUACUGGAGAGGAGGCUGGAAUUUACGGUGUAGCAGUGAAAUGCGUAGAUAUCGUAAGGAAGGCCGGUGGCGAAAGCGAGCCUCUGGACAGUUACUGACGCUGAGGCGCGAAAGCCAGGGGAGCAAACGGG